Molecule: transfer RNA, 77 nt
Filed under: Deltaproteobacteria bacterium
Lineage: Bacteria; Pseudomonadati; Myxococcota; Myxococcia
Also listed under: 2 other names
Description: tRNA-Lys
Rfam family: tRNA
About the family: Transfer RNA (tRNA) molecules are approximately 80 nucleotides in length.
Source: RNAcentral
GGGCCACUAGCUCAAUUUGGCAGAGCAGCUGACUCUUAAUCAGGAGGUUCCGGGUUCGAGUCCCGGGUGGCCCACCA